RNAcentral lists this ribosomal RNA (554 nucleotides) under Aspergillus fischeri. RNAcentral describes it as "eukaryotic LSU rRNA". The stretch from base 173 to 326 matches the Rfam family "5.8S ribosomal RNA". The record is from RNAcentral. Lineage: Eukaryota; Fungi; Ascomycota; Eurotiomycetes; Eurotiales; Aspergillaceae.
UCCGUAGGUGAACCUGCGGAAGGAUCAUUACCGAGUGAGGGCCCUCUGGGUCCAACCUCCCACCCGUGUCUAUCGUACCUUGUUGCUUCGGCGGGCCCGCGCCCGCCGAAGACCCCAACAUGAACUCUGUUCUGAAAGUAUGCAGUCUGAGUUGAUUAUCAUAAUCAGUUAAAACUUUCAACAACGGAUCUCUUGGUUCCGGCAUCGAUGAAGAACGCAGCGAAAUGCGAUAAGUAAUGUGAAUUGCAGAAUUCAGUGAAUCAUCGAGUCUUUGAACGCACAUUGCGCCCCCUGGUAUUCCGGGGGGCAUGCCUGUCCGAGCGUCAUUGCUGCCCUCAAGCACGGCUUGUGUGUUGGGCCCCCGUCCCCGGUUUCUCCCGGGGACGGGCCCGAAAGGCAGCGGCGGCACCGCGUCCGGUCCUCGAGCGUAUGGGGCUUUGUCACCCGCUCUGUAGGCCCGGCCGGCGCCAGCCGACACCCAACUUUAUUUCUAAGGUUGACCUCGGAUCAGGUAGGGAUACCCGCUGAACUUAAGCAUAUCAAUAAGCGGAGGA